UGGGGAAUAUUGGACAAUGGGGGAAACCCUGAUCCAGCAAUGCCGCGUGAGUGAAGAAGGCCUUAGGGUUGUAAAGCUCUUUCGCCCGCGAAGAUAAUGACGGUAGCGGGAGAAGAAGCCCCGGCUAACUCCGUGCCAACAGCCGCGGUAAUACGGAGGGGGCUAGCGUUGUUCGGAAUUACUGGGCGUAAAGCGUACGUAGGCGGAUGCGCAAGUUGGGGGUGAAAUCCCGGGGCUUAACCUCGGAAUUGCCCUCAAAACUGCACGUCUUGAGACCGAGAGAGGUGAGGGGAAUUCCUAGUGUAGAGGUGAAAUUCGUAGAUAUUAGGAAGAACACCAGUGGCGAAGGCGCCUUACUGGCUCGGUACUGACGCUGAGGUACGAAAGCGUGGGGAGCAAACA
RNAcentral lists this ribosomal RNA (402 nucleotides) under uncultured bacterium. RNAcentral describes it as "bacterial SSU rRNA". It matches the Rfam family "Bacterial small subunit ribosomal RNA", at positions 355 to 774 of the family's 1533-position model. The record is from RNAcentral.